RNAcentral lists this ribosomal RNA (496 nucleotides) under uncultured bacterium. Its description in RNAcentral is "partial 16S ribosomal RNA". It matches the Rfam family "Bacterial small subunit ribosomal RNA", at positions 28 to 507 of the family's 1533-position model. The record is from RNAcentral.
GAUGAACGCUGGCGGCGUGCCUAAUACAUGCAAGUCGAGCGAACGGACGAGAAGCUUGCUUUUCUGAUGUUAGCGGCGGACGGGUGAGUAACACGUGGAUAACCUACCUAUAAGACUGGGAUAACUUCGGGAAACCGGGGCUAAUACCGGAUAAUAUUUUGAACCGCAUGGUUCAAAAGUGAAAGACGGUCUUGCUGUCACUUAUAGAUGGAUCCGCGCUGCAUUAGCUAGUUGGUAAGGUAACGGCUUACCAAGGCAACGAUGCAUAGCCGACCUGAGAGGGUGAUCGGCCACACUGGAACUGAGACACGGUCCAGACUCUACGGGAGGCAGCAGUAGGGAAUCUUCCGCAAUGGGCGAAAGCCUGACGGAGCAACGCCGCGUGAGUGAUGAAGGUCUUCGGAUCGUAAAACUCUGUUAUUAGGGAAGAACAUAUGUGUAAGUAACUGUGCACAUCUUGACGGUACCUAAUCAGAAAGCCACGGCUAACUACGUG